Molecule: ribosomal RNA, 494 nt
Filed under: uncultured bacterium
Lineage: Bacteria
Description: partial 16S ribosomal RNA
Rfam family: Bacterial small subunit ribosomal RNA
Source: RNAcentral
GACGAACGCUGGCGGCGUGCUUAACACAUGCAAGUCGAACGGUGAAGCGCCUUCCUUUUUGGUGGGUGUGGAUGGGUGGCGAACGGGUGAGUAACACGUGAGUAACCUGCCCCCUUCUUCUGGAUAACCGCAUGAAAGUGUGGCUAAUACGGGAUAUUCUGGGUCUGUCGCAUGAUGGGUCUGGGAAAGAUAUUGUUUCGGUGGGGGAUGGGCUCGCGGCCUAUCAGCUUGUUGGUGGGGUGAUGGCCUACCAAGGCGGUGACGGGUAGCCGGCCUGAGAGGGUGGACGGUCACACUGGGACUGAGACACGGCCCAGACUCCUACGGGAGGCAGCAGUGGGGAAUAUUGCACAAUGGGCGCAAGCCUGAUGCAGCGACGCCGCGUGAGGGAUGGAGGCCUGCGGGUUGUGAACCUCUUUCGCCAGUGAAGCAGGCCUGCCUCGUUUGUGGGUGGGUUGACGGUAGCUGGAUAAGAAGCGCCGGCUAACUACGUG